UCCAGACUCCUACGGGAGGCAGCAGUGGGGAAUAUUGCACAAUGGGGGGAACCCUGAUGCAGCGACGCCGCGUGGGUGAAGGAGUAUUUCGGUAUGUAAAGCCCUAUCAGCAGGGAAGAACAAUGACGGUACCUGACUAAGAAGCACCGGCUAAAUACGUGCCAGCAGCCGCGGUAAUACGUAUGGUGCAAGCGUUAUCCGGAUUUACUGGGUGUAAAGGGAGCGUAGACGGCAUGGCAAGCCAGAUGUGAAAUACCGGGGCUCAACCCCGGGACUGCAUUUGGAACUGUUAAGCUGGAGUGUCGGAGAGGCAGGCGGAAUUCCUAGUGUAGCGGUGAAAUGCGUAGAUAUUAGGAGGAACACCAGUGGCGAAGGCGGCCUGCUGGACGAUAACUGACGUUGAGGCUCGAAAGCGUGGGGAGCGAACAGGAUUAGAUACCCGGGUAU
Molecule: ribosomal RNA, 447 nt
Filed under: uncultured bacterium
Lineage: Bacteria
Description: bacterial SSU rRNA
Rfam family: Bacterial small subunit ribosomal RNA
Source: RNAcentral